AACGAACGCUGGCGGCGUGCUUAACACAUGCAAGUCGAACGCGAAAGUUUUCUUCGGAAAGCGAGUAGAGUGGCGCACGGGUGAGUAACGCGUAAGUUAUCUACCUCGGCAUCUGGAAUAACUCACCGAAAGGUGUGCUAAUACCGGAUACGUUGAGUAAUCAAGAAAGGUGGCCUCUGAAUAUGCUACUGUGCUGAGAUGAGCUUGCGUACCAUUAGCUAGUUGGUAGGGUAAUGGCCUACCAAGGCAACGAUGGUUAGCGGGUCUGAGAGGAUGAUCCGCCACACUGGAACUGAAACACGGACCAGACUCCUACGGGAGGCAGCAGUGAGGAAUAUUGCGCAAUGGGGGAAACCCUGACGCAGCGACGCCGCGUGGAUGAUGAAGGCCUUCGGGUCGUAAAAUCCUGUCAGAUGGAAAGAAAUGCAUAUGUGCUAAUAUCACAUAUGUUUGACGGUACCAUC
RNAcentral lists this ribosomal RNA (464 nucleotides) under uncultured Desulforhopalus sp. RNAcentral's name for it is "bacterial SSU rRNA". It matches the Rfam family "Bacterial small subunit ribosomal RNA", at positions 29 to 482 of the family's 1533-position model. The record is from RNAcentral. Lineage: Bacteria; Pseudomonadati; Thermodesulfobacteriota; Desulfobulbia; Desulfobulbales; Desulfocapsaceae.